Long non-coding RNA from Alexandromys fortis (reed vole), 150 nucleotides. RefSeq lists it as uncharacterized. NCBI's taxonomy places the organism in Eukaryota, Metazoa, Chordata, Mammalia, Rodentia, Cricetidae. The record is from RefSeq and is a predicted model, not a curated record. The transcript has 3 exons.
GGAGCAUCAACCGACCAGGAAGCCUCGAUAGGAGCGGCGUCUAGAAGCAGUUUUAAGAAGUUCCUCUGGGAAAGAGUGCCAGUGUCCCAGCCAGGUGACAGUGGAAGAACUGCCUGGAGUGGACUGUAAAAGAAGCUGCAGGAAUCAGGA